UUAUUCUUUUAUGUCAACCACACCGUGUUAUUUUGUAGGAACAAAAAUAAUCGUAAAGAACCAAAAACGCAACAAUUCCGACCACCUAAAGUCAAAAAAAGAAAACAAUUUUACCUACCGUUUCACAAAUUAUAAGCAGAACUAUAAGCUGUGUUAUCGAAAACAUUUUAUGGCUCAGGAAUAACAAGAAGUGAUUUAAUAUAUCUGGAUUCUUAUUGUCAAACUUUGUUAAGCCUUAAACAAAAUAUCUGCAGCACAUGACACAACUGGAAGAGGUAUAUAUACAGCACAAACAAAUAA
Long non-coding RNA from Eupeodes corollae, 300 nucleotides. RefSeq lists it as uncharacterized. NCBI's taxonomy places the organism in Eukaryota, Metazoa, Arthropoda, Insecta, Diptera, Syrphidae. The transcript is spliced from 2 exons. The record is from RefSeq and is a predicted model, not a curated record.